This 120-nucleotide ribosomal RNA is filed under the name uncultured bacterium. RNAcentral's name for it is "partial 16S ribosomal RNA". It matches the Rfam family "Bacterial small subunit ribosomal RNA", at positions 796 to 914 of the family's 1533-position model. The record is from RNAcentral.
CACGCCGUAAACGAUGAAUACUAGGUGUCGGGGGGCAGAAGCUCUUCGGUGCCGUCGCAAACGCAGUAAGUAUUCCACCUGGGGAGUACGUUCGCAAGAAUGAAACUCAAAGGAAUUGAC